RNAcentral lists this unclassified non-coding RNA (218 nucleotides) under Hevea brasiliensis (rubber tree). The record is from RNAcentral. Lineage: Eukaryota; Viridiplantae; Streptophyta; Magnoliopsida; Malpighiales; Euphorbiaceae.
GAAAAAUCGACCCCGAAGCAACGCGUGUUCGUCGUUCCCCGUCAAUCAAAGCAUAAGCUGCCUGCUCUAACGUCCUUUUCUGCUCUUGUUUGUACGACAGGGCAGGGUAUCCUAAAGCCAUCGUCCUUGAGCACUCAGAAAUGAGGCCACGUAACCCAACAAGGGCGCACAUUCAAUCCGAACCCUACACGCAAUUUCUAUCCGUUCAUUUUGUGAGG